RNAcentral lists this ribosomal RNA (250 nucleotides) under uncultured bacterium. RNAcentral describes it as "partial 16S ribosomal RNA". It matches the Rfam family "Bacterial small subunit ribosomal RNA", at positions 355 to 602 of the family's 1533-position model. The record is from RNAcentral.
UAAGGAAUAUUGGUCAAUGGACGAAAGUCUGAACCAGCCAUGCCGCGUGGAGGAUGAAGGUCCUCUGGAUUGUAAACUUCUUUUAUAUGGGACGAAAAAAGGGUUUUCUAACUCGUCUGACGGUACCAUAUGAAUAAGCACCGGCUAACUCCGUGCCAGCAGCCGCGGUAAUACGGAGGGUGCAAGCGUUAUCCGGAUUCACUGGGUUUAAAGGGUGCGUAGGUGGGUUGGUAAGUCAGUGGUGAAAUCU